AAGUCGUAACAAGGUUUCCGUAGGUGAACCUGCGGAAGGAUCAUUAACACGUAUCCAACGUUAAACCCCCCUGUGAAUUUUAUCGCUGCUCUUGCAGACGCCGGCAAGUUUGCAAUCCCUGGUAAAUCAUUGUUGAACAGAUUUUGAUUCAGGGACCUCUAACCCCGGUAGAUCUAUAGCUGCAAUUUGAGCGCUUGUGCAAGUGGCCUGGUUUCCCCAAGCAGCUAGUGUCUGAAAGUGUCGCUGGUUGGUGACCGGGCUGCUGUGGCUUUAUGCCCCCUAUAUUUACCCCACUACCUUAACUCGGGUCGCAGGAAACUGCUUCCCAUCAACCGAACAACUGUUAACAAUGGAUAUCUUGGUUCUC
RNAcentral lists this unclassified non-coding RNA (367 nucleotides) under fungal sp. Its description in RNAcentral is "partial internal transcribed spacer region". The stretch from base 1 to 46 matches the Rfam family "Eukaryotic small subunit ribosomal RNA", at positions 1786 to 1831 of the family's 1831-position model. Lineage: Eukaryota; Fungi. The record is from RNAcentral.